This 2781-nucleotide ribosomal RNA is filed under the name Triticum aestivum (bread wheat). Its description in RNAcentral is "partial small subunit ribosomal RNA". Lineage: Eukaryota; Viridiplantae; Streptophyta; Magnoliopsida; Poales; Poaceae. The record is from RNAcentral.
AUGGAGGUUGUGGCGACGGCGGCGGCCACCUCUUUCGUGGAGUGGAUGGUGCCGAAGCUCUUUGAUUUCUUAGAUAAAAAUCACGAGCUUCGGAAGAACCUGGAGCGUGACAUCAAGUUCAUCCAGAACGAGUUUGCCAUGAUUUCUGCGGUCAUCCAGGAUGAGCAAAAAGUUCGCCAUGACGGUGGCGAAGAGGUGCAUAAGGAGUGGAUCAAGAUGGUACGUGAGGUGGCGCACGCCAUCGAAGACUGCAUCGACCGCUUCAUGCACCGCGUGAGGAUGCCGGAGACAGGCGCCGGGUGGCUCCGUCACGCUGUCCACAGGGUGAAGACGGUGAAGGCUCGUAACGAGUUCGCCGUGGCCAUCCAGGAGCUCAAGAAGAUAUCAGAGGAUGCGUCUAAGCUAAAAGUAACAUACAGUAGCAGCAUCACCUCUUCACCAGGGCGGUCGAUGUUGUCUGAGCAGACAGAGACGGCAAUGACCAAAGAAGACGACGGCGACGAUGACCAUUCAGCAGCAUCCGGACCUGUGCCCGUGGGUAUGGGCGGUCCACGAAACGAGCUUCUGGAUAUGAUCCAGCAGCAGCAGCAGCUCAAGGUGAUCACCAUUGUUGGGUUCCACGGUAUGGGCAAGACACUCCUCGCCAAUCAUGUGUACAAGGCAGUUGAGAGCCAAUAUGAAGCUCGGGUUUGGGUCCCUCCAGCAAAACUAGAGGGAAGAGCCACUGAUGUUCUCAAGGAGAUACUCCGACAACUUGGCCAAUGCGUCGACGGCCGUCUCACCAAGCUUCAAGCCAGCGUCAAAGAGUGCAUUGGGACCAAGAGGUUCUUCAUUGUAAUUGAUGACUUGCGGAAACCAGGAUAUUGGCACGAUGUAAAAGUGGCCUUUGCGGGGUUAAGCGGCAGAUUUCUGGUGACGACAGCCAUUCAGCGCGUAGCAAAUACCUGCAGCAGCUCAAUUGUUCAUGAUCAUGUGUACACAAUGGCAACUCUUGCCGAUGAACACUCAAGACUAUUGUUCUUUAAUGAAGCUUUCCAAGACGAUGAUCUACCGCCGAAUGCGGAGGAGCUUGGCUCCGCAGCGCUCAAGAAAUGUGAUGGUCUUCCACUUGCUCUUGUUACCACUGCCAGGUUCUUGCAAAGCGCAGGUAAUCCAACAACCAUAAAAUGGGCAAAGUUAUGCGCCGAUAUGGGUACAAAUCUGGAGAGUGAUGAGCUAUUUGAAAGAAUGAGGCGUGUGCUUGUCCAGAGCUACACCAGCCUUGAUACCCAGGUUGCCAGGACAUUCUUGCUCUAUUUGAGUACCUACCCAAGUGGUCGCCCUAUCAGGAAAUCGAGCCUGUUAAGGAGAUGGUUAGCAGAAGGGUUAUGCCCGGGAGACAAUGCACGCACUGCACUCGAUACUGCUAUUAACAAUUUCAAUAAGCUUGUCGACCGGAGUAUCAUCCAGCCUAUGGAUGCCAGUGGUAGAAGCACAGAGGUGAAAACAUGCCAUACCCAUGGCAUGAUGCUGGAGUUUGUCCUGCGCAAGUCAAUGGCCGAAAACUUUGUCACCGUGUUGUAUGAUCAACAAUCUACCCCACACCUACCCAGUAACAUCCGCCGACUUGCUCUGCAUGGUGCAAGGCCCAGUGAAGUGCAAGGUUUAACUCUUGUCCGGUCACUGACAAUCUUGGGAAAGGCACACCGAUCUGUCCUGGAUUUCUCAAAGUACCAGCUGCUGCGAGUUUUGGAUCUGGAAGAGUGUGUUGAACCCUUGAGGGAUAGCCAUCUCAAGUUGAUAUGCAGAAAACUGUUCUUGCUGAGGUACCUAUGCCUCGGGAAAGCUGUUAUUGCGAUGGCGCUUCCAAAGGAGAUCAGCAAGCUUCGAUUAUUGGAUACAUUGGAUGUGAGAAAUACACCGAUAGAGAUUCUGCAAGCACAUGUCCUGGAGCUGCCAUGUCUAGUUCAUCUCUUUGGGAGGUUCAAGCUCAAGCAAGAUGUAGGAGACCGGAGAAUGAGUAAGCUACAGACUUGGUUGUCAGUGAAGAGCAAAUUGGAAACACUGGCAGGAUUUGUUGUGGACAACAGAAAGAGCCAAGAGUUUGCACAGCUCAUGUACAAUAUGAAUGCUUUGACAAAGGUGAAAAUAUGGUGCGAGCCUACGGCCGACACCAGCUGCUCAAGUCAUCUCUCAAAGGCCAUCAAGGGGUUCAUUGAGAGAAGCAGCGUGUUCAGAGGGACCCCUUCACUCUCACUCAGUUUUGAAGGCGAGUUGACCCAAGACAUGCUGAAUUUCUCUCUGGAGAAAGUAAAUAAUAAUUGCUGCUAUCUUGGCUCGCUCAAGCUGCAAGGAAGCAAGAUAUGCAGCCUGCCCUCCUUUGUUGCCUUUCUGGGUGGUCUCACUAAGCUAGGCCUUUCUUCCCCUCAGCUGAGCCUGAGCGAAGACUUCCUUGCUGCCCUGAGCAAAGUGCCCGGCCUGGCGCACCUGAAGCUGGUUGCAACUAUCCUGGGCAAGCUCGUCAUCACAGAAGGUAUGCUGAAGAGGCUGUCACGCCUAUCCAUGGUGGUGGAAUCCACGAUUGAUCAGCUGGAAAUCAAAGAGGGAGCUCUACCGUGCCUCAAAUCGCUGCAGCUGCUAUGCAAAUAUCUAGAUGGCUUUUCGGGCAUAUCGCCGAUCAAGUACAUUAAAAAUGUUGAGGAGAUUGCUCUUCAUCAUGAGGUGAGUGAUGAAACGAAACAUGAGUGGACAGAAGCUGCAAAGAAGCUCCCAAAUCCACGUCCCAAGAUCUUGUUUCUCUAG